ACCACCGUGACCGGUGACCAUUUCAUUCUCUCUCUCUCUCUCUCUCUCAAGGAAGGAUCUACGAGGGAGUCACGGUGGAGUUUACUCCCCCUAUCUCCUCCACGGGCGUUCUUCAAUCAGAGAAAUCCAUGGAUCGAGCUUCUCUCCUCCUCCUCAGCAUCUCUAUAUUCUUGGAUCUGACCGCGGCUGAUAAAAUUCCGGAUAAGCUCGAUUUAGCAGCCGAAUCAGGGAUGAUUUUCCCGCUUAGCUACUCAUCCCUUCCGCCGCGAGUGGAGGAUUUUCGCCGUCGUCUCCAUCAGUCGCAGCUCCCUAACGCUCACAUGAAGCUCUACGAUGACCUCCUCGCCAACGGCUACUACACGACACGGUUAUUGAUAGGAACACCACCACAAGAGUUCGCUUUGAUUGUAGAUACUGGAAGCACCGUCACUUACGUUCCUUGCUCCACCUGCAAACACUGUGGGAAGCAUCAGGAUCCCAAGUUCCAACCUGAGUUAUCUAGCACCUACGAAUCUGUCAAAUGCAAUCCUGAUUGUAAUUGUGAUGAUGAUGGGAAACUUUGUAUCUAUGAAAGACGUUACGCUGAGAUGAGUUCCAGUAGUGGGAUUCUAAGUGAGGAUUUGAUAUCUUUCGGCAACGAGAGCCAGCUUUCUCCGCAACGCGCUGUUUUUGGAUGCGAGAACGCUGAGACAGGGGACCUUUUCAGCCAACGUGCUGAUGGUAUUUUGGGUUUGGGUCGCGGUAAGCUUAGUAUCGUUGAUCAGCUUGUUGACAAGGGUGUCAUCGAGGACUCUUUUUCCUUGUGUUAUGGUGGAAUGGAAGUUGGUGGUGGUGCGAUGGUGCUUGGUAAAAUAUCUCCUCCUCCUGCUGGAAUGGUCUUUGCCCGUUCCGAUCCUUUCCGCAGUCCCUACUACAACAUUGACCUGAAACAAAUGCAUGUUGCUGGCAAGUCUCUGAAGCUUAACCCAAAGGUCUUUAACGGAAAGCAUGGAACCGUCUUGGAUAGUGGAACAACGUAUGCUUAUUUUCCCAAGGAAGCGUUUAAUGCCAUAAAGGACGCGGUCAUUAAGGAAAUCCCAUCUCUCAAACGGAUUCAUGGUCCAGACCCAAACUAUGAUGAUAUUUGUUUCUCUGGCGCUGGAAGGGAUGUGGCUGAGAUACACAAUUUUUUCCCCGAGAUUGCGAUGGAGUUUGGCAAUCAUCAGAAACUGAUCCUUUCUCCCGAGAACUACUUGUUCAGGCACACUAAAGUUAGAGGCGCUUACUGCCUUGGAAUAUUUCCUGAUAGAGACUCAACAACACUCCUUGGAGGAAUUGUUGUUCGCAAUACGCUUGUCACUUAUGACCGUGAAAAUGACAAGCUCGGGUUUUUGAAAACCAACUGUUCUGAUCUAUGGAGGAGGCUGGCGUCACCACCAGAUUCUCCUGCACCUACUUUACCAGUUACCCAAAAUAAAAGUUCUAAUAAUAUCUCUCCAAGCCCAGGCCCGGCUUCAAGCAAGUCUCCUGCAGUGGAUCUUCCAGGUGUUUUUCGGAUUGGAGUUAUCACCUUCGAAGUGUCAAUUAGUGUAAAUAAUGCGUCAAUGAAGCCCAACUUCUCAGAGAUCGCAGAUUUCAUUGCCCAUGAGUUAGAGAUUCAAAGUUCACAGGUUCGCUUGUUGAGUAUCACGACCAGAGGAAAUGAGUAUCGCCUGAAAUGGGGAAUCUAUCCCCCACAAUCUUCUGAGUACAUUUCCAAUAAUACAGCACUGAACAUAAUGUCGCUUUUGAAGGAAAACAAAUUGCGCCUACCCGGUCAAUUUGGAAGCUACAAAUUGCUAGAAUGGAAGGCUGAGCAGAAGCGGAAACAGAGCUGGUGGGAGAAGCAUUUACUUGGAGUGGUGGGGGGAGUAAUGAUCUCGUUACUGGUUACUUCGGUGAUGGUCAAACUCGCGUUGGUGUGGAGAAGGAGACAAGAAGAAGAAGCAACUUAUGAGCCUGUAAGUGCUGCUGUUAAAGAACAAGAACUCCAGCCUCUCUCGUCCUCUGAAACAUCUAAUGCUUGAGCCUCCCCAUCACUCAACAGAGAUUAGGACGCGAUCGUUAUGUGAGACAAAGGCUACUCAAAGUCAUAUGAUAAACUCUGUUGAGACUUCAUCGUUUCUAUGGCAAAAAGGAGAGGGAAGAUGGAGGAAGAGUUGAGAAUAGAAAUUAAGGAGAAAUUUGAACUUCUUAUAUUUUGUGAUCGUUCUAUCACAUAAGUUCUUUACCAGCAAAAGACAGUUAUGUAUAAAACGCAAUCGACAUUUACUUCAGUGACUUGGGCUUCUUCUCGUUUCAUUCCGAGAUCUGUUAACAGCCAAGCCAAACUAUAAGCUCUUAUCAUCAUACUUCUAAACUUAUAAAAAGUUGUAUGUAACAAAAACGGAUAAAUACUACGAAAUCACAAAACUAGCAUCUUGAUCUAUAACUUGACCUACUAUUUCAAGUUUUGUAAAUAUUAAUUUGUAAAAUGACAAUGAAUUUAAGAAAAUUUAGGUCCAUAACAAUGAUGUGACAUCUUCUCUGAAACUGUGUAAACAAACAUUUUUAAUCCCAUUUCUACCUUUCGCAUAACUACAUUUUAUGAAUGUGUCAUUAAUAAAAAUCACCAUACAUUUUAAAUCAUUAGCUCUAGACUAUUAUUUAAUAAAUGGACUACUUUUAUAUUUUUUGGAAUGCAAUAAAACGGAUUGCAUGAAAAAGUUUAAUGGGAAAAGAUCGUUGGUCUUAUAACAGUUACAUGAAAAUCAAUAUCCUAGUCAUUUUCUUAAAUUGCCAAUUUUUGAUACCCUACCAAAGAUACUAUAGUGUACUAAACCAUCACGGUCACAAAAGAGAUAAGAUACCAGUUAAGAAAGGAAUAGAACGAAGAAUCAUUGUCCCUAAUUCAUCCCCCCUUAUUAUUCUCGCCUAUGCUGAGGUUCUUUAUCACCAAUUUCAAUGCACAGAAAAUGGCACACAUUUGUUGACAAAAUUAAUUUACGUACAAUAAAAUAAAGGAACUCACUGUCACACUUCAAAUGCUUCCACCAUAGUUACUUCUUUUGUUUUCUCUCUCUAUUAUUAUUAAAAGCUUGAAGCCCAUCGUAAAAGAAAAUAUACAAGAGGAGGCUCAAAUCCCAGUCAAAAUAAACAAACAAAGAGGAGGCCCAAAAGAGCCCAGUACACAAAAGAGUCAGCAAAGGAAGUCGGUAUUGACUCAAAACCACACGUUUCUUUUAUGAGAGAUAAGGACACGUCCAUCAUGCGAACUAACACCGCACUCCAACGACAAGGACGUCUCCGACGAAGAUUUAAUCGGAAUCCCACCUGAAACCAACCGGAAACAGAAUCCAAUUAGAGAACCUCGCCGUCAACGACAUCAUGAAUUGAAGGAGCCAAUACCUACAACUUCUUCGGUUAUAACUCCUGAGCUCUAUCAACAGAGAGUCAAUCUACCCUAACGGAGAAUCUACUCUGAACAGAGCCACCAAUCGAGCCAAAACCGAAGCUAAAGUUUCUUCACUUCAAAUAACUUCAAUCGAACAACCAACGACCACGAACAUCGAUUUACCUUGAAUGAAACAUGUUGAGAUCGGGUUCAAUGGAAGCAAGAAGAACAUGGAAGCGAAGAUCAAACCAGAACCGAAAGAUAACCGGUAGUAAGUGUAUUUCAGCUGGAGUGGGCCUGCGUGUUCUUGGCCCAAGUCACAUCAGCAUUGCUUUUGGCCCAUCUGUCUUGCCGAAGCCCAAGCUAUGUUCACAAAUCUCCACCAGCUUGGUUAAGGCCCGAUCCUGGCCCACCUCGAUGAACCCUCGUGCCGACAGCCUCAUGUCUUGGUCUCUUUUGUCUUCUUGCGAAAGAAAGACAUCAGUCUCUACUCUCUCUCUCUCGCCGUCUCUCUUCUCGCGAACCUCCACCAGAGAAAUGGUCUUGGCUCAGAUUUCCGAGAGAUCUCGAUCAGCUCCGUUGUACCGACAUCCCUCUGCUCCUCUGUUAUCUCCAGGUACAUCUGAUCUCCAUUUUAGCUUUGAGAUUAGGGUCUUCUGCAAAGAAAGUCGAGAGCUUUCUUGGGAAUUUCACUGAUCCUUUACUUCCUUGUGUCUUGCAUGUCUUCUCCGACAUGAUUCCGGCUCUUACUCGAGCUCCACUGUCAUGCUCCACCUCUUCUGUGAACCGAGGGCACCCUCACGUAUGACGGCCCUAGUACGACCCUGAUGAUUUUGUAUCUUGAUCUGAGUACUCUGCUUUAGCUCGCUCGUUGUGGUUUAGAAAAGCACUUUGAAGAAAUGGUUGGUGACGACAUUCCUAACACCAAACCCGUGACUAGUUGGUGUUGUUCGGUGAACUCCUCCACCUGAACGGAGGACUCUUCUCGAUUCUACUUCUGCUCCAGGUAACAUCUCCUGUCUCUUGUCACGAUACUUUUGGCCAUCAAUUGACUCCUCCUUCGUAUUCACUAACAUGCGUUUGUUACUUGUGAUCUACGAGGGUGAAGUUUAGACAACCAUAGUCACCUGGAGCGUCUUCCUAUCUCAUCAGUGGACAUUCAAAAGUUCACAGCAAAGCUGGAACUUCUGACCAGGGUCUAUCGCAGGUGCAGGGUCAACAAUUCCAGCCAGUCCCUUUCCCGAGUCCUUCAUGGCAGACUCAGGUUCAUCCUUUGCGUCUGAUCCCUCCUUUAGAAGCUUCUCGUCAGUGAGAAUGGACUUAAGCCCAAGCACUCCAAAGUGAGCAAGCAUCCUCACCUUCCACAGGGCGAAAUCACCAUCACCCUCGAACCGGUCAAUAUCCACACGUUCCUUCGAAGUCACCAUUGAACAGGUAUUUCAGCUGGAGUGGGCCUGCGUGUUCUUGGCCCAAGUCACAUCAGCAUUGCUUUUGGCCCAUCUGUCUUGCCGAAGCCCAAGCUAUGUUCACAGUAAGCCAACAACGUCUCAAGGAUAAAAGCGACCGUCACCAGAGCCAAGAGCCGGUUUAUCACCGAAGAGAAGGUGAUACAACCGGAGCCAAGAGCCGGUUUAUCACCGAAGAGAAGGUGAUACAACCGGAGCCAAGAGCCGGAAGCUUCAUCGAAGAAAACACCAGAAACCGGAGCCAAAGCCAGCCGUUCACCGUAAAGGAGACCCAACCAUGGGCAGAGUUUCGCCGGAAAACACCGGCCUGAGAUUUCUCUCUACGCUUCCAUUGUGUAUGAUUGAUGAGAAGGAACAUAGCAGAAGGAGAGAGAAAUUCGUACAGAAGAACCACGCUUAACAAGGUUUUUUUGAUGUGAAUGACCAUAGUUACUUAUAUUCGAACGUUUUACGUUUGUUGUAAGGAAAGAAAAAAAUAAAACGAAAAAGUGUUGUGUAAUAUAGGUGAAGUAUAUAUAUACAUGUACUUAUAUUAUACGACGAUGGCUUCUUUUUUGUUUUGUUUAAGACAUGCGGUAUGUUAAUAACUUCUUAUUUAUAACAUUUAGGAGGUUAUUGGAACAUGAAUUUCUGUGGAAUUUGAUGAUUUUAA
This is an RNA transcript of Brassica napus (rape), 5509 nucleotides long. It is a transcript of the gene named aspartic proteinase 39, with no coding region annotated. The transcript is spliced from 18 exons. Lineage: Eukaryota; Viridiplantae; Streptophyta; Magnoliopsida; Brassicales; Brassicaceae. The record is from RefSeq and is a predicted model, not a curated record.